AGGUAGGGUGGCCGAGGUAGGUGGCAAGUUGUAGCCUUGCCCACGGGGCCUUGCGCCUCCCCAG
This 64-nucleotide transfer RNA is filed under the name Cyrtodactylus payarhtanensis (Tenasserim Mountain bent-toed gecko). RNAcentral describes it as "tRNA-Tyr". The record is from RNAcentral. Lineage: Eukaryota; Metazoa; Chordata; Lepidosauria; Squamata; Gekkonidae.